This 497-nucleotide ribosomal RNA is filed under the name uncultured bacterium. RNAcentral describes it as "partial 16S ribosomal RNA". It matches the Rfam family "Bacterial small subunit ribosomal RNA", at positions 28 to 507 of the family's 1533-position model. The record is from RNAcentral.
GAUGAACGCUGGCGGCGUGCCUAAUACAUGCAAGUCGAGCGAACGGACGAGAAGCUUGCUUCUCUGAUGUUAGCGGCGGACGGGUGAGUAACACGUGGAUAACCUACCUAUAAGCCUGGGAUAACUUCGGGAAACCGUAGCUAAUACCGGAUAAUAUUUUGAGUCGCAUGGCUUUAACGUGAAAGACGGUCUUGCUGUCCCUUAUAGAUGGCUCCUCGCUUCAUUAGCUGGUGGGUAAGGAAACGCCUUCCCAAGGCAACAAUGCAUAGCCGACCUGGGAGGGUGAUCGGCCACACUGGAACUGAGACACGGUCCAGACUCCUACGGGAGGCAGCAGUAGGGAAUCUUCCGCAAUGAGCGAAAGCCGGACGGAGCAACGCCGCGGGAGUGAUGAAGGUCUUCGGAUCUUAAAAUUCUGUUAUUAGGGAAGAACAUAUGUGGAAGUAACUGUGCACAUCGUGACGGUACCUAAUCAGAAAGCCACGGCUAACUACGUG